Molecule: RNA transcript, 3667 nt
Organism: Musa acuminata AAA Group (dessert banana)
Lineage: Eukaryota; Viridiplantae; Streptophyta; Magnoliopsida; Zingiberales; Musaceae
Gene name: zinc finger CCCH domain-containing protein 24-like
Exons: 3
Source: RefSeq, a predicted model, not a curated record
GGGCAAGCGUUUCAUUUUGUUUUCGUUUGGGGGUGCACCUGAUACCCGAAGACCUCUCUCCUCUCUCCUCUCUCCCUUGGUGGGCUUCGUCUGCCUCCUACCUGGGAUCGGCGAGCUCUCGGUAAAUCAGCGACGGUGACGUGCAAGGUGCGCCGAGCUAUCCUGCUGGAUGGCCGAUCUCUCCAUGAGCUCAGGGUGUUUGCUGCCGCCUGCUGGUUCUACUCCUAGGAUAGCUGAAGGAUCCGGCGGUCUCGAGCCCAUCAGCGGCCUAGUUCCGGCAGAUCGCAGCAUGUGCGGUGGUCCGGGCCGCUUGAAGUCCUCAGCUUCGUCUUCGUUGUCGCCGUCUCCAACCUCACAGGAAGAACAUCAGCAACGCUCUCUCGCCGCAGGAAUGAGUCGACUGACCGUAGAGAUCGACUCUUUCUCCUUGAGCCUUCUGGAGCUCGCCGCUAACAACGAUGUGGACGCCUUUCGGCUGUUUCUGGACCGCGACCCGUCGGCCGUGGACGAGGUUGGUCUCUGGUACGGCCGAAGGAAGGGCUCCAACCGCAUGGUCCUGGAGCAGCGGACUCCCUUGAUGGUGGCCGCCACGUACGGCAGCCUCGACGUCCUCAAGCUCAUCGUGUCCCUGCCCUCUGUGGAUGUCAACCGUGUCGCCGGACUCGAUGGCACCACCGCUCUCCACUGCGCUGCUUCCGGUGGAUCUUUGGAAGCUGUUGAUGCUGUGAAGAUGCUCCUUGCGGCCGGUGCCGAUCCCGCUUUGGUGGAUGCAAACGGAAACCGCCCUGCCGAUGCUAUCGUGGUGCCUCCCAAGUUGCCUGAUUUGAAGACUGGCCUUGAACAACUUCUUGGAAGGAGCACAAAUGCGUCGGGUGGCUCAGAUAACCACCACCACCCUCUUCGCGUGAUGACGAGUUCGCCGAACUCCAUUUCGCCGCCGCUUUCUUUGUCCCCUGAUGAGGAAGGGUCGCCGUUGUCCAACUCGACUUCCUCCCCUCCGAUGGCGAAGUUCCCUGACCUUCCUCCGGUGGUCGUGUCCGAGAAGAAGGAAUAUCCAGUGGACCCAUCUCUCCCGGACAUCAAGAACAGCAUCUACUCCACAGAUGAGUUCCGCAUGUUCUCGUUUAAGAUCCGCCCGUGUUCUCGGGCAUACUCCCAUGACUGGACCGAGUGCCCCUUCGUCCAUCCUGGUGAGAAUGCCCGCCGGCGUGACCCCAGGAAAUACCACUACAGCUGCGUUCCGUGCCCUGACUUCCGGAAGGGGGCCUGUCGGAGGGGAGACAUGUGCGAGUAUGCACAUGGGGUGUUCGAGUGUUGGCUUCACCCGGCACAAUAUCGCACGAGGCUCUGCAAGGACGGGACGGGCUGCUCUCGCAGGGUCUGUUUCUUUGCGCACACGAACGAGGAGCUUCGUCCGCUUUAUGUGUCUACUGGCUCGGCUGUGCCCUCUCCCCGGUCAUCCUCUGCUGCAAUGGAGAUGGCUGCAGCGAUGGGGCUCAUGCCUGGGUCACCAUCCUCGGUCUCUGCUGUUAUGUCACCUUUUACACCGCCCAUGUCACCAUCAGCUAAUGGCAUUGGUCACUCUUCAGCGUCUUGGCCGCAGCCAAAUGUGCCUACGUUGACUCUACCUGCAAGCAAUCUUCAGUCAAGCAGGCUGCGCUCGUCUCUCAGUGCAAGGGACAUGCCGGUGGAUGACCUCUCAGUAAUCUCUGAGUUUGAUACCCAACAGCUACUUAGUGACCUGUGCUACUCCCGUCCAAGUUCAUCUGCUGGGAAUCGGUCCAUCAGAACCAAAACCUUGACUCCUUCAAACCUUGAUGACCUUUUUUCAUCUGAGAUAGCCUCGUCACCAAGGUAUAAUUCUGACCAGGGUAGUAUUUUUUCUCCAUCUCACAGGACCGCUGUAUUCAAUCAGUUCCAGCAGCAGCAGAGCCUCCUCUCUCCAAUCAACACAAAUGUGUUCCCCCCGAAGGCUGUCGAUGCUCAACAUCUGCCUGCCCAUUCACCUCUCUUACAGGCCUCGCUCAAUGUCUCUUCUCCUGGACUCAUGUCUCCACGAAGUGUUGAACCUGUUUCUCCAAUGAGUUCGCGCCUGGCGAUGUUAACCCAAAGGGAGAGGCAGCAGCAGUCACUCCGAAGCCUGAGCUCUCGUGAUCUUGGUCCCAUUUCAUCUCCGAUCGUGGGUUCUCCUGUUAACUCAUCGUGGUCGAAGUGGGCUUCUCCUUCUGGUGUUCCUGAUUGGGGAGUUAACAGUGAAGAACUGGGACGUCUUAGGCGAUCGUCUUCCUUUGAGUUGCGAGGAAAUGGGGAGGAACCUGAUCUGUCAUGGGUACACUCACUGGUGAGGGAAUCGCCAACUGAGAAAGUGGCAUCUGUUGCCACGGCUCCUACAGGUCCUACUGGUGGUGCUGAGUGUUUGAAUUCAAACGUUGAGAUGGAUGGGCAUGAUCAAGCUGCGGUACUUGGUGCAUGGCUUGAACAGAUGCAGCUCGAUCAGAUAGUAACCUAGGGGAAACCCGAAUUGUCACUAUGAUGUUAGAUGGGAGGUAUUUGGUAGUAGAUCAGUAGCUAACUAAAUUCAGUAAACAAUAUUUUUUGGUUAGUUGGGUGGUAAAGAAGGGAAAGAAGCAGGAAGGAGUAAUUUCAGAGAUUCAUUUCUUCAAAAACAGAUUUAUUGUUACUUCAAAGAGUUCCCUCAGUUCAAAAUUGGAUGGGGUUUAUUGCUGGGGUUUAUGAAGGCCUAACCCAGAUCGACAGGGAGGGGGUUGGAGUGCAUGGUUUUUGGGAGUUGACCAGUUUCACUUUGCUAGGAUAAAGAUCUAGAAGUUUGCUCAAAGGCUUUUGUUUGGGACUUUAACAAUUGCAGCUGUGGUGAAUCAAUGGGUGCUAAAGUUCUCUGCAGAACAAUCGCAAUUGAUCAAAGGUGCCUGUUGCGGAAGUUCUCUGCUUGUUGUAUUAUUUGAUCAAACAUUACCAAUAUUUCUGUUCCAUAGUUUUUUGGUAUCCAUACUAAUUUGAACCGUAGUUAUCUUCAUCAUAUCCUUUUAUGUUUGUUUACCUGUGGGGUGAUAAUAUUCUCACUGAUCCACAUGUGCAAAGGGAUGAUAUCUGUUUCUUUUAAAGACACAUUGGAAUCAGUGGUGGUGGGGCAAUCUAUUGGAAAUUCUGGAACAGCUGGGUUAUCUAUGCAAGGUGUGCCAUCUCAUCUUUAUUCCUUAUUUAGUGGGCAUCUCUUGUGUUGGUGAAUGUGGAUGGAUUAUGACACACCUAUCCAUGCUACCCUGAUGUGGAUUCAGAACUUACAUAUUUGUUGUAUGUUCCAUUAAAAGCAUUGGUGAAGUUGGUUUUGAUCUUGUUUUGUUUUCUGCUGGAGUGGGUGGAUGCUCAAGCAAGUAGUUUUUGUGAUUGGAAGUACUUUUGUUGGACACCAUGAUUGGGGUGCAAUUUGGAGUUGUGUUCACCAAGCUCUCUAAAGAUCUCAUCCACAAUGUUGUUAAAGCUUAUGCUUUAUCCUGACCUUGUGAAUAUGAUAAUGCUUUGGAUGCCUGACUUUUUAGAUUUGGAUUGUGAUCAUGGAAUAUCAUGAGUGGUGUUCUUGAUCAUUUUGUAAAAUUCCCACUCUAAAUCUUGAUCUGCAUCUUGGUGAAAUAUAUGCAUUUUAUCUUCA